UACGUAGGGCGCAAGCGUUGUCCGGAAUCAUUGGGCGUAAAGAGCUCGUAGGUGGUCUGUUACGUCUGCUGUGAAAUCCUAGGGCUUAACCCUGGGCCUGCAGUGGAUACGGGCAGACUAGAGGUAGGUAGGGGAGAAUGGAAUUCCCGGUGUAGCGGUGAAAUGCGCAGAUAUCGGGAGGAACACCGGUGGCGAAGGCGGUUCUCUGGGCCUUACCUGACACUGAGGAGCGAAAGCGUGGGGAGCGAACAGG
Molecule: ribosomal RNA, 253 nt
Filed under: uncultured bacterium
Lineage: Bacteria
Description: partial 16S ribosomal RNA
Rfam family: Bacterial small subunit ribosomal RNA
Source: RNAcentral